AAAAAAGCGGAGGAAAAGAAACCAACAGGGAUUGCCUUAGUAGCGGCGAGCGAAGCGGCAAGAGCUCAGCUUUGGAAUCGGCGGACGUCGAGUUGUAGAGUGGAGCGCGGCAGCUGGAGCGCCGGACGCGUCCAAGUUUCUUGGAACAGAACAUCGCAGAGGGUGAGAAUCCCGUGGGAUGUGUCCUGGCGGCCCGUGUAGUUGCUGUGCGGCGAGUCGAGUUGUUUGGGAAUGCAGCUCCAAGUGGGUGGUAAACACCAUCUAAGGCUAAAUACCGGCGAGAGACCGAUAGCGAACAAGUACAGUGAUGGAAAGAUGAAAAGCACUUUGAAAAGAGAGUGAAACAGCACGUGAAAUUGUUGAAAGGGAAGGGCUUGCAAUUAGUGCCUCGCAAGAGGACCAGCAUCAGUUACCGGGGGACCACAAGGGCCGGGGAACGUGGCUCGCAUGCGUGCGAGUGUUAUAGCCCCGGGCGAUGGCCGUUUGGUGACUGAGGACCGCGCCGUGAGGCAAGGAUGCUGGACAAACUAAACAAU
RNAcentral lists this ribosomal RNA (536 nucleotides) under Metahyphopichia silvanorum. Its description in RNAcentral is "eukaryotic LSU rRNA". It matches the Rfam family "Eukaryotic large subunit ribosomal RNA", at positions 44 to 554 of the family's 3401-position model. The record is from RNAcentral. Lineage: Eukaryota; Fungi; Ascomycota; Pichiomycetes; Serinales; Debaryomycetaceae.